GGAGGGUGCGAGCGUUAAUCGGGAAUUACUGGGGCGUAAAGCGCGCGCAGGCGGCUGGGGGGUCAGUCGGAUGUGAAAGCCCCGGGGCUUAACCUGGGAAUUGCAUUCGAUACUGCCCGGCUAGAGUAUGGGAGAGGGAAGUGGAAUUUCCGGUGUAGCGGUGAAAUGCGUAGAUAUCGGAAGGAACACCAGUGGCGAAGGCGGCUUCCUGGCCCAAUACUGACGCUCAGGUGCGAAAGCGUGGGGAGCGAACAGGAUUAGAUACCCUGGUAGUCCACGCUGUAAACGAUGAGAACUAGAUGUUGGGAGGGUUAGCCUCUCAGUGUCGCAGCUAACGCGUUAAGUUCUCCGCCUGGGGAGUACGACCGCAAAGGUUGA
This 378-nucleotide ribosomal RNA is filed under the name uncultured organism. Its description in RNAcentral is "partial 16S ribosomal RNA". It matches the Rfam family "Bacterial small subunit ribosomal RNA", at positions 527 to 897 of the family's 1533-position model. The record is from RNAcentral.